UUGCACAAUGGGACAGUGUAGUUGUCCCACAAGCUCUAGUUCAAGAACCUAUUUCAGACCGAUAGAUGUUAGGCGGCCUAAUCUUGGUUGCUCUGAGGUCACAAAGCUGACUUGCCAAAAUACAAAGAAACACAGCCUUUUGGAAGUUGAAGAUGUGGACUAUUUCGCGUUUAAGGCAGAUAUUAGUGACACAGAUUUGAAUACCUGUAAACGCGCAUGUUUGGAGAAAUGUUCCUGUAAAGCUGCAUUCUUCCGUAGUGGGUUAAAUUCUUCGAGGACCAGGGGGGACUGCUACUUGCCAACCGAGAUCUUUUCAAUAAUGAACAAUGAGAAGGACAGGACAAGGUAUGAUUCUGUCGCAUUUAUAAAAGUACAGGUUUAAGCUGAACCAGCUUCUGAUAAAUUAUGAACAAGAAUUAACCUGCGGGAGGACAUGGAUGGAAAUUAUAAAAUUCUGCGCGAUAUCCAGAAUAAAAGCAUGCUAGACAUGAACUGUCUGAAGGUAUAGUUAAAUAAAUACAUGGUUGGAUAAACCAAAUUAGUGUUAAAGAGUUCUCUGUAUUUCCUCAUCUUCCCUUCUUUUCUGUAUUACACUCUCAUCCCUCUUUUCAUUUAUCUGUUGCUAUUUCGUUGUCCUUGUUCUAUCAUUUUCUGUAAUUUCAAUUCAGCAGACAAUCUAUUUUUUCAGUUGUUAGAGUUAAGUGUUUGUUACAUUUGUGCUUGGUAUAAUUCGUAAAUAGACACUCAAACUUGACAUCAUUUGACAAGCCACACACUCCAAUUUGAGAGUGCACAUCUAGGCACCUUAACUUGGUCAUAACGGCAACUUAACACCCAACUCGUCCUCAUUGUGUCUUAUAGACACUCAACGCUGACGUGACAUAAAUUUUGGAGGUGUCUAGAUGAUUUUUUAAGUUGGAGCGUUCAACUGAUACAACGGAGACCAAUAUUUAUUUAUGCAUUAUUAUUUAUGCAUAUGGUCUCAUAAUAUGCAUAAAUAGACACUAAAGUCGAGAGAAUUUACUUCACGACGAUCUUACAAGUUAUCUUAAGCACUCACACCCGACGCAGGAAUUGUGAACCCUAGAGAUUAUUGAACAUAAAUUUGUGCAUGAGCCUAUGCAAACAAGUUUAAAAGUGGUAGAUAGCCUUGUUCCUAAUUCAGUGACGCUUAUUGCCCUUAAUGUCCGUGUAAUUCAGACAUAAUUGGCAUAAUGUGUUCAAUUCAAUCUAGUCAUAGUUGAAUCAAGGAACCAAUCGUCAUGUUUAACGUACAUAUUUGUUAAACCCAUGUUCGUCUCUCAAGUAAAAUCAAGUUGAGCGAUCUGCUAUAAAGAUAGACAGCAAAAUGCAAAUACAGAAAAGAAGAGUUUCAUAAUUCCAAGCAGAACACAGAAUUCAUGUUCACCAGUUUUAAGCAAAUAAAGUGGUCAAUUACCAUAUACAGAGAAUUCUUUGACCUGUUAAGCCUGUCCAAGUUAAAAAAAAGACGUUAUUUAGUAGGAAAAGUUGGAGAAUUUUUUACUAUACCAGAAGCCGAAAUUCCAAUUAGGCUCAUUUUUAAAAUAAGAGAUAAGCAUCAAUACCCGAAUUAUGGCCAAAGUUGCUACGACACACUCCAACUUCACAGCGGUACUAUUACCACCCUGAACUCAAUUUUAGCUUAUUUUUAUCACUCUUUUGUGUUAACGUGACAACUUUAUUAAAUAAAAUAUGUUCCACGUUGAAUGUGCCACCUAAGCUAAAAAGGUCGAUAAAAAGUGUCACAUCAGCUAAAAGGAUUGAUAAAAAUACACUAAAAUUUAGUUAAGGGAUAAUAGGACUUUCAUAAAUUUGAAAUAUAUCGUAUUAAAUUUAAUCAUAGUUCGGAAAGAUACUAGAUGCUUUACUCUUAAAAUAAUAGCAAAAGAGAAUAUAUUCUUUUUUGAUAAGGUAGAUAUUUUAUUGAAAGGUACCAAGAUGGUACAGAGGAAGGAACGGAAACAUCAAAAAGCAAGGAAAAAAAAACCACCUCUAUACUCUUUUUUCUAGCAUAUCCACUAAAUCCAUGUAAUGGUCAAACUCUCUAUUAGGCUGCCUUUCCUCCAAAAAUACAAAUUAUGUAAGCAUCUAUCCUUGAUUAUAGUACAGAGAAUAUACUCUUUGCACAUGGCAUAUAUAGAUACAAUUGAAAAAGACAACUUCUUGAGUUAUAUCUCACCUGCAAGUUUAAUUUCAUAUAAUAUAAAAACAAAUUUCCAGCUGGCUUAGGUUUUUUUUUUAAGAGAAUGUAUGAUUUUAAACUUGACACCAAAUUAUAACUUUGAUCUUAAACUUUGAUAUUGCACAAAUAUGACCUUUAACUAUUCAAAACUGCACAAAUAUGACCUCCGAUCCUACGUGGCAAAACGCAUGUUCAACAUGCAAAACUGGACGCGUCCAGCUUAAAAUCAAAGGGCAUAAUACAUAAAUAUGACCCUAACCUUAACACCAAAUUAUAACUUUGACCCUAAACUUUGACAGUGCACAAAUGACUUUUCACUAUUAUUUUUUCAUUAUUUUCGGCUCAAAGAUUAAAAUGACAUCUAAUUUCUUGUCAUUGCGGAAAAAGAACAAUAUUGAAGAUUUAUUAAUGAGGUGAGUCAGCCUCAUCCGAAAAAAUCGCGCGGGUAUGUAUAUAUACUAUAAAGCAGAGAAUGAAUUUAAGUUAUAUAAUGUAUCUAAAUAUAAUUUAUUUAAAUAUUAAAUUAAAGAUGAAACUAUACUACUAGUAAAAAAAAUAUAACGUUAUUAAGGAUAGUAGUAGUAGUAUAUUAAAUUAACGUUAUUAAAAUGUUAUUAAAUUAACGUUAUUAAAACAUUAUUAAAUUAAUGCAGGGGCGGACCUACGUGGUUGCCAUGGGGUUCACCCGAACCCCCUCGGUAAAAAAAUUACGUUGUAUAUAUAAGGUAGAAAAUCUAUAUUUAUGUACAUAUAUUAAUGUUGAACCACAUGAAACAAGAUACUUAGAUAGCUCAGUAGUGUUAUUUGCUCUUCUUGGUCGCUUCUUUCAGCCUACUGUGCGGAUUCGAUCCCUAAAUAAAUAAAAAAAUUAUUAUUAUAAUAAUAAUAAUAAUAAUAAUAAUAAUAAUAAUAAUAAUAAUAAUAAUAAUAAUAAUAAUAAUAAUAAUAAUAAUAAUAAUAAUAAUAAUAAUAAUAAUAAUAAUAAUAAUAAUAAUAAUAAUAAUAAUAAUAAUAAUAAUAAUAAUAAUAAUAAUAAUAAUAAUAAUAAUAAUAAUAAUAACGACGCCGUUUUAACAAAAAAAAUAAAACUUUAAAAGUGCACAAAUAUGACUUUUAACUAUUCAAAACUGCACAAAUAUGACCUCUCUCCAAGUCACUCUUUUGACGACGUGACACCAUGUGAUUGGAUUAUCUUUCCACAUAGGCGCGAGUGAAACUCACGCAUCGGGGUCGCAAAAUCGGAGGUCAUAUUUGUUCAGAUUUUGAAUAGUUAAAGGUCCUAUUUGUGUACUAUCAAAAUUUAAGGUCAAAGUUAUAAUUUGGUAUCAAGUUUAGCAUUAUAUUUAUUUAUGUAUUAUCGUUUUUUUUUUAAGUUAUCCCAGUUGUAUUAAACUACGUGCUUGUCAUCCAAGUUGAAUUAAACUAGGUGCUUGUUGCUUUCUUGAUCAUACUAAAUAUAGAUUGUGCAUUUUGCACUAGAAAAUGCACUUCUUCAAAUUUCACUUUGCAUUAUCCAGUGUUCUUAAUGGCUUUAUGCAAGAUUUUUCCUUUUGCCUUCAUUCUCUUUUCUUCUUGUUAUCUGAUAUCCGGCCAACGUUUUGAUUACCCAACUGCAAAUCUUUCUACAACUUGAAUCAACAGUGUUUCUGCACCCCAUUCAAUGGAUUAUACGGAUGGCUCAAGGAUAAGGGCUAUACUACUCAGAGGAACUUUUGGUCCAAGAUAUGCAUGUGGUUUCUAUUGUAAUGGCAACUGUGAUAGUUACCUCUUUGCCAUAUUCAUUGUGCAAACUAACAGGGCUUCCCAAAUUACUUCUCCCGGCGUUGGAUUCCCACAAGUUGUUUGGUCUGCUAACCGGAACAAUCCGGUUAAGAUCGAUUCUACUUUGGAACUUACAGCACAAGGAGACUUAGUGCUCAGAGAUGCUGAUGGUACUUUGGUUUGGUCAACUAAAACUGAUGGGAAAUCUGUUGCAGGCUUAAGCUUGACCAAUGAGGGGAAUCUUGUUCUGUUUGAUUCCAAGAAGGCAACUGUUUGGCAGUCUUUUGAUCAUCCAACUGUUCCGGGGCAGAAGUUAGUAUCAGGAAUGAAACUAACAGCAAGUGUUUCCAGAACAAACUGGACGGCGGGAGGUUUGUUUGCCUUAUCUGCUAUGAUGAUGGUUUGGUUGCUUUCGUAGAGUCAAAUCCUCUCCAAAAAUACUUUGAAGCAUCUAUUGGUGGAUCCAGUCCUAGUGGAGUCUCCAAUUAUGUUAAGUAUUUGAAUGGAAGCUUAACUUUAUUCACACAUUCUGAUGAGACAACCGAGUUGAUUCUGAUUUCUAUUGCUCCAGCAUCCUCUGCUCAAUAUAUGAAACUCGAGUCCAAUGGACACUUGAAAGUGUACGAGUGGACAAGUCGGGGGUGGAGAGAAGUGGAUGAUCUCUUGACAGGCUUUCGUGGCGAGUGCAAUUACCCCACGGCCUGUGGAAGAUAUGGCAUUUGCACAAUGGGACAGUGUAGUUGUCCCACAAGCUCUAUUUCAAGUACCUAUUUCAGACCGAUAGAUGUUAGGCGGCCUAAUCUUGGUUACUCUGAGGUCACAAAGCUGACUUGAAAAAAUUUAAAGAAACACGGACUUUUGGAAGUUGAAGAUGUGGACUAUUUCGCGUUUAAGGCAGAUAUUAGUGACACAGAUGUGAAUACCUGUACACGCGCAUGUUUGGAGAAAUGUUCCUGUAAAGCUGCAUUCUUCCGUAGUGGGUUAAAUUCUUCGAGGACCAGGUGGGACUGCGACUUGCCAACCGAGAUCUUUUCAAUCAUGAAUAAUGAGAAGGACAAGACAAGGUAUGAUUCUGUCGCGUUUAUAAAAGUACUGGUUAAUGCUCAACCAGCGGCUGAUACUAUAUGAACACAAAUUAACCCGUGGCAGGACAUGGAUGGAAAUUAUAAAAUUCUGCACGCGGUAUCCAGAAUAAAAGCAUGCUAGGUAUGAUUUUGUGAAGGUUUGGUUAAAUAAAGACAUGGUUGGAUAAACCAAAUUAGUAUUAAAGAGUUCUUUGUAU
This 5246-nucleotide long non-coding RNA is filed under the name Capsicum annuum. RNAcentral's name for it is "long non-coding RNA (CANN_LNC012054)". The record is from RNAcentral. Lineage: Eukaryota; Viridiplantae; Streptophyta; Magnoliopsida; Solanales; Solanaceae.